Molecule: ribosomal RNA, 253 nt
Filed under: uncultured bacterium
Lineage: Bacteria
Description: partial 16S ribosomal RNA
Rfam family: Bacterial small subunit ribosomal RNA
Source: RNAcentral
UACGUAGGGGGCGAGCGUUAUCCGGAUUCACUGGGUGUAAAGGGAGCGUAGACGGCCAAGCAAGCCAGGGGUGAAAGCCCGGGGCCCAACCCCGGGACUGCCCUUGGAACUGCAUGGCUGGAGUGCGGGAGGGGCAGGCGGAAUUCCUGGUGUAGCGGUGAAAUGCGUAGAUAUCAGGAGGAACACCAGUGGCGAAGGCGGCCUGCUGGACGACAACUGACGGUGAGGCGCGAAAGCGUGGGGAGCAAACAGG